UAAAGGGGGAGGACCCCUAGGUUCCCUGGUUAGUCUGACGGAUGCGGCAUUCUGUUACGAUCCGAAAGCGGAUGUGUGGGCCAAGAUGCCGACUGGAAGGUACAGCGCAGCAGCCUGCGUGGGAUCAGAUGAAUGCAUCUACGUUAUCGGUGGAGGCAGCAGCGCUUGUAAUUUAACCUGCGUUGAGGCUUUUAAUCCGGCGAGCAAGCGGUGGACAAAACAAAUGUAGCCUGCGCCGUCCGCUGAAUGCCGCUGGAGCCUGUUGCAUCGGCGACAAAAUCUAUAUUCUGGGAGGCGCUGACGCAACUGUGGAGAAAUCGAUCAACGUGUACGACGUGUCUUCGGACACAUGGACGCGCCGUGAAAAUCAGUUGCCCGUUGAAAGAUGGGGCUUUGGCUGCAGCGUGGCCAAAAUCCCAAGGGAGCAUAACGAACAACCUCAAAUUGCAGUUCAGUUGUUCAGUUCAUGAGA
Paramacrobiotus metropolitanus is the source of this 472-nucleotide long non-coding RNA. RefSeq lists it as uncharacterized. The transcript has 3 exons. Lineage: Eukaryota; Metazoa; Tardigrada; Eutardigrada; Parachela; Macrobiotidae. The record is from RefSeq and is a predicted model, not a curated record.